This 1031-nucleotide ribosomal RNA is filed under the name Odocoileus hemionus (mule deer). Its description in RNAcentral is "partial 16S ribosomal RNA". It matches the Rfam family "Bacterial large subunit ribosomal RNA", at positions 853 to 2593 of the family's 2925-position model. Lineage: Eukaryota; Metazoa; Chordata; Mammalia; Artiodactyla; Cervidae. The record is from RNAcentral.
GUCCAGGAAAUGAAUAUUAGUUCAGCUUUAAAAAUACCAAUAAUAUAAACAAAUAUACUGUAUUUUUAAAAGUUAGUCUAAAAGGGUACAGCCUUUUAGAAACGGAUACAACCUUAACUAGAGAGUAAAACUUGACAAUACCAUAGUAGGCCCAAAAGCAGCCACCAAUUAAGAAAGCGUUAAAGCUCAACAAUAAAACUAUCUUAAUCCCAAUAACAAAUAAUUAACUCCUAGCCUUAAUACUGGACUAAUCUAUAAAAAUAGAAGCAAUAAUGUUAAUAUGAGUAACAAGAAGUAUCUUCUCCCCGCACGAGUUUAAGUCAGUACCUGAUAAUAUUCUGACCAUUAACAGCAAAAUAAGAAUAACCUAACUAUAAAUAACUUACUUAUUGUACUGUUAAUCCAACACAGGAGUGCACUUAAGGAAAGAUUAAAAGAAGUAAAAGGAACUCGGCAAACACUAAACCCCGCCUGUUUACCAAAAACAUCACCUCCAGCAUAACUAGUAUUGGAGGCAUUGCCUGCCCAGUGACAACCGUUAAACGGCCGCGGUAUCCUGACCGUGCAAAGGUAGCAUAAUCAUUUGUUCUCUAAAUAAGGACUUGUAUGAAUGGCCAAACGAGGGUUUUACUGUCUCUUACUUCCAAUCAGUGAAAUUGACCUUCCCGUGAAGAGGCGGGAAUACCAUAAUAAGACGAGAAGACCCUAUGGAGCUUUAACUACUUAGUCCAAAGAAAUAAAUUUACUAACCAAGGAAACAACAAUACUCUUUAUGGACUAACAGCUUUGGUUGGGGUGACCUCGGAGAACAGAAAAUCCUCCGAGCGAUUUUAAAGACUAGACUCACAAGUCAAAUCACACAAUCGCUUAUUGAUCCAAAAAAUUGAUCAACGGAACAAGUUACCCUAGGGAUAACAGCGCAAUCCUAUUCAAGAGUUCAUAUCGACAAUAGGGUUUACGACCUCGAUGUUGGAUCAGGACACCCCGAUGGUGCAACAGCUAUCAAAGGUUCGUUUGUUCAACGAUUAAAG